UCGUGCUAGACGGGGAGUUAGCGGUGCCCUGUAACCCGCAAUCCGCUACAGCGGGGUUGAAUUCCCAUUCCGAGGGUUGAUCUUGCGCUGUCGGUAUCUUACAGCCGCAGUGUUGAGAGUCAGGUCCUGCGCAACGUGAGAUCGCCGAACCCCGUCAGGACCGGAAGGUAGCAGCGGUAAGCGACCCCUCUCGUGUGCCGUGGGGCCACCUGGCCGGAGCUGUCGGCUUGGAUACUCCAGACGCGAGGACAUUCGAAGGUGGGUGCACGA
RNAcentral lists this signal recognition particle RNA (270 nucleotides) under Candidatus Zixiibacteriota bacterium. RNAcentral's name for it is "signal recognition particle sRNA large type". It matches the Rfam family "Bacterial large signal recognition particle RNA". Rfam says of the family: The signal recognition particle (SRP) is a universally conserved ribonucleoprotein involved in the co-translational targeting of proteins to membranes. Archaeal SRP consists of a 7S RNA and homologues of the eukaryotic SRP19 and SRP54 proteins. The record is from RNAcentral. Lineage: Bacteria; Pseudomonadati; Candidatus Zixiibacteriota.